GACGAACGCUGGCGGCGUGCUUAACACAUGCAAGUCGAACGGAAAGGCCCUGCUUUUGUGGGGUGCUCGAGUGGCGAACGGGUGAGUAACACGUGAGUAACCUGCCCUUGACUUUGGGAUAACUUCAGGAAACUGGGGCUAAUACCGGAUAGGAGCUCCCGCUGCAUGGUGGGGGUUGGAAAGUUUCGGCGGUUGGGGAUGGACUCGCGGCUUAUCAGCUUGUUGGUGGGGUAGUGGCUUACCAAGGCUUUGACGGGUAGCCGGCCUGAGAGGGUGACCGGCCACAUUGGGACUGAGAUACGGCCCAGACUGCUACGGGAGGCAGCAGUGGGGAAUAUUGCACAAUGGGCGGAAGCCUGAUGCAGCAACGCCGCGUGCGGGAUGACGGCCUUCGGGUUGUAAACCGCUUUCGCCUGUGACGAAGCGUGAGUGACGGUAAUGGGUAAAGAAGCACCGGCUAACUACGUG
RNAcentral lists this ribosomal RNA (468 nucleotides) under uncultured bacterium. RNAcentral's name for it is "partial 16S ribosomal RNA". It matches the Rfam family "Bacterial small subunit ribosomal RNA", at positions 28 to 507 of the family's 1533-position model. The record is from RNAcentral.